GAGACAUGAACAUUAAAUAAAUAACUUUAUUGAUGUGAUAUUUUUUGUUUUUUCCUCAUAAUAUUUCAUAAAAUUGCAAAUUGUUCUAUACUUCAAAUGCAAAUGUAGCAUAAAAUGCCAUCCUUCAACUUUAAAUGUAUUUAAAUGCAUGUAUAUAUUAAUGUCUUUUGUAAACUGUAUUUAAAACACAUUAAAUCACUUAUUGAGUAAUAAAUUAUUGUGAAAAAAUAACCAGCAAAAAAGAUUGCCCACAAUCAUCCCAAUUUUUACUUGUGUGUUUUUCCCUUGUUUAAAUAUCUUGCAGAAAAAAAAUGAACACAAAGUUGUGUGUAUUUUUAAUUUAUUACACGACUGAUUGUUUCCCACAACUGCACUGCUGUACAGUGAGGCAAAAAGUCAUGUCAGGUUGUUUUGUAGGAAAUAUAAUUCAGCACAAGUCAAACAUAUUUUUUUUUACAGAUUUACAACAUUUACUAAAGUCAGUGUGACUUGACAGUUUUCACCCUUUUCUCCUUUUUUAUUCCCAACUGCAAAGAUGUGUCCAGUUGCAGUUCAAUAAACAAAAUAGUCCAAAAAAGCACUUUCACUAAAUCCAGAUUUAUUUCGGGUGAAUUUUUUAAUAUGUUCUAGAAAACAGAGGAGCUUUUUACUUGAGUGGAGUGAACGUUCUCGGAACAUCUUGCUCUCAGGGAGAAGAGGACGACAAAAAAUGGGUUUUUUUAUCGACUCCAUGUGAUGGAGCUUCUCGAGACAGACUUGCGGUGGAAGGCGCCACAGACCACAGCCCCCUGAGAUUAAAAAUGUUCUGAUCCAAUAAGUCUCUCUGUCUCUUCCAGAGUGUCUUUUAGUUCCUCGCAGGUCCUUUCACGUCCACAGACUGCUGGCCUGCCGACAGGUUGCAGGAGGACGGGUCGCAGUAGCCGUGAGGGCCGGCUGCACCAGGAGGUCCAGGCACACCAUGUUGUCCAGGCACACCGGGAGGUCCUCUCUGGCCGUCACGCCCGUCCUGACCGUAACCAGGAAGUCCUGGAGGUCCUUGUUGACCUUUGGCUCCUCGCACGGUGGGCCCUCGGGAGCCCCUGUCCCCCAUUUCACCUGCAACACACGUCAUGUGAGGACGGCACGCCGAAGCAAGAGGUCCUAGUGGUCCUUUGAGUCCAGGAAGUCCUCUUAUUCCUGCCUGUCCUGGGAAACCGUUGUCUCCUGGAGACCCAGGAGGUCCUGGAGGUCCGGGUUUGCCAGGUAAACCAACCACACCUGACUCAGGCCUUCUCAAACCAGCUGCCAACUGGGCCAGUUGUUCUGUUGGGUCACAAAUGAUGAAGGGAUGAAACUUUGCCUCCAAAGUUCUUGAGUCUGUUGUGGGUUCAAUCUAAAGUGAACGUGAUGAACUCGGCUCAUGAAGAAUCUUUCAAACUUUCUCUCAACAUCUUUCAACAGCAAAUGUAGCGGAGAAGAGACAAUGCUUUUUAUUUUCACCAGCAAUCAGCGAGAAAGAUGUAUGUUCAAGGUGCAAAUGAUCCAAUAUUAAUCUCCAGUGACUCUUUGCUGCAUGAGAUUCUGCACUUUGCAGGCUGCUGAUGAAAAUUCAUGCAGUGGCUGCUCUUUUUAAACAUUUCCUUCCCUGGCCGACUCUCUUUGCUCAGAGCGGAGGAGU
Entelurus aequoreus (snake pipefish) is the source of this 1657-nucleotide long non-coding RNA. RefSeq lists it as uncharacterized. The record is from RefSeq and is a predicted model, not a curated record. NCBI's taxonomy places the organism in Eukaryota, Metazoa, Chordata, Actinopteri, Syngnathiformes, Syngnathidae. The transcript has 3 exons.